GAAUGCUGACAUAAGUAACGAUAAAGCGGGUGAAAAGCCCGCUCGCCGGAAGACCAAGGGUUCCUGUCCAACGUUAAUCGGGGCAGGGUGAGUCGACCCCUAAGGCGAGGCCGAAAGGCGUAGUCGAUGGGAAACGGGUUAAUAUUCCCGUACUUGGUGUUACUGCGAAGGGGGGACGGAGAAGGCUAUGUUGGCCGGGCGACGGUUGUCCCGGUUUAAGCGUGUAGGUGUGUGUUCCAGGUAAAUCCGGUUCACUUUAACACUGAGGCGUGAUGACGAGGCACUACGGUGCUGAAGCAACAAAUGCCCUGCUUCCAGGAAAAGCCUCUAAGCAUCAGGUAACACGAAAUCGUACCCCAAACCGACACAGGUGGUCAGGUAGAGAAUACCAAGGCGCUUGAGAGAACUCGGGUGAAGGAACUAGGCAAAAUGGUGCCGUAACUUCGGGAGAAGGCACGCUGACACGUAGGUGAAGUGAUUUACUCAUGGAGCUGAAGUCAGUCGAAGAUACCAGCUGGCUGCAACUGUUUAUUAAAAACACAGCACUGUGCAAACACGAAAGUGGACGUAUACGGUGUGACGCCUGCCCGGUGCCGGAAGGUUAAUUGAUGGGGUCAGCGCAAGCGAAGCUCCUGAUCGAAGCCCCGGUAAACGGCGGCCGUAACUAUAACGGUCCUAAGGUAGCGAAAUUCCUUGUCGGGUAAGUUCCGACCUGCACGAAUGGCGUAAUGAUGGCCAGGCUGUCUCCACCCGAGACUCAGUGAAAUUGAACUCGCUGUGAAGAUGCAGUGUACCCGCGGCAAGACGGAAAGACCCCGUGAACCUUUACUAUAGCUUGACACUGAACAUUGAGCCUUGAUGUGUAGGAUAGGUGGGAGGCUUUGAAGUGUGGACGCCAGUCUGCAUGGAGCCGACCUUGAAAUACCACCCUUUAAUGUUUGAUGUUCUAACGUGGACCCGUAAUCCGGGUUGCGGACAGUGUCUGGUGGGUAGUUUGACUGGGGCGGUCUCCUCCUAAAGAGUAACGGAGGAGCACGAAGGUUGGCUAAUCCUGGUCGGACAUCAGGAGGUUAGUGCAAUGGCAUAAGCCAGCUUGACUGCGAGCGUGACGGCGCGAGCAGGUGCGAAAGCAGGUCAUAGUGAUCCGGUGGUUCUGAAUGGAAGGGCCAUCGCUCAACGGAUAAAAGGUACUCCGGGGAUAACAGGCUGAUACCGCCCAAGAGUUCAUAUCGACGGCGGUGUUUGGCACCUCGAUGUCGGCUCAUCACAUCCUGGGGCUGAAGUAGGUCCCAAGGGUAUGGCUGUUCGCCAUUUAAAGUGGUACGCGAGCUGGGUUUAGAACGUCGUGAGACAGUUCGGUCCCUAUCUGCCGUGGGCGCUGGAGAACUGAGGGGGGCUGCUCCUAGUACGAGAGGACCGGAGUGGACGCAUCACUGGUGUUCGGGUUGUCAUGCCAAUGGCACUGCCCGGUAGCUAAAUGCGGAAGAGAUAAGUGCUGAAAGCAUCUAAGC
This 1511-nucleotide ribosomal RNA is filed under the name Salmonella enterica subsp. enterica. RNAcentral's name for it is "partial 23S ribosomal RNA". It matches the Rfam family "Bacterial large subunit ribosomal RNA", at positions 1292 to 2786 of the family's 2925-position model. Lineage: Bacteria; Pseudomonadati; Pseudomonadota; Gammaproteobacteria; Enterobacterales; Enterobacteriaceae. The record is from RNAcentral.